UGCGGGAACCACCUGAUCCCAUGCCGAACUCAGCAGUGAAACCGCUCAGCGCCGAUGGUAGUGUGGGGCCUCCCCAUGCGAGAGUAGGUCAUCGUCAGGC
RNAcentral lists this ribosomal RNA (100 nucleotides) under Halomonas gemina. Lineage: Bacteria; Pseudomonadati; Pseudomonadota; Gammaproteobacteria; Oceanospirillales; Halomonadaceae. The record is from RNAcentral.